Nomascus leucogenys (northern white-cheeked gibbon) is the source of this 84-nucleotide microRNA precursor. The record is from Ensembl. NCBI's taxonomy places the organism in Eukaryota, Metazoa, Chordata, Mammalia, Primates, Hylobatidae.
UAUUAGGUUGGUGCAAAAGUAAUUGCAGUUUUUGACGUUACUUUUAAUGGUAAAAACCAGAAUAACUUUUACACCAACCUAAUA